RNAcentral lists this ribosomal RNA (245 nucleotides) under uncultured Anaerotruncus sp. RNAcentral describes it as "partial 16S ribosomal RNA". It matches the Rfam family "Bacterial small subunit ribosomal RNA", at positions 796 to 1041 of the family's 1533-position model. The record is from RNAcentral. Lineage: Bacteria; Bacillati; Bacillota; Clostridia; Eubacteriales; Oscillospiraceae.
CACGCCGUAAACGAUGAUUACUAGGUGUGGGGGGACUGACCCCUUCCGUGCCGGAGUUAACACAAUAAGUAAUCCACCUGGGGAGUACGGCCGCAAGGUUGAAACUCAAAGGAAUUGACGGGGGCCCGCACAAGCAGUGGAUUAUGUGGUUUAAUUCGAAGCAACGCGAAGAACCUUACCAGGUCUUGACAUCGAGUGCAUAGCCUAGAGAUAGGUGAAGCCCUUCGGGGCACUCAGACAGGUGG